UGCAAUGGUCUUGCUUUUCCAAGACUCACAGAGCCAGGUAGUUCCUGCUUCCUGCAGGGUUAAAUCACAGAUUGUGUGGAAGUGAAGCCUCCUGCCGCAUCCUUCUAUCAUACUACAGUUCUUUCCUUUUAGCACAAGUUCACUCAACUUAUGGAUCCAGGACCAGUUGACUGAAUUAAGAAACAAAGCUCAAUGAAAAUGAAGCUAAAUGAAAUAGAGAAGCUAAUUAGUCAAACUAAUUGAGUUUCCUUUUUUUUUUUAAGCAAUGCUAAGUAAUUUUUUUACUUGAUUUUUUAAAAAUGGGUAGCCUUUUUUGGUGAUGUAUAAACACAACCAAUGUUUUCCUCAACCGAAGGUAUCAAUGAAACUUUGCCUGAGUCCAUAGUGGUGCUAGCCAAAUGCAGCUGUAUUUAGUUUAGCAGUCCUUAAUAUGAGAAGGGAUUCUGAUCACAGAAUUGGUGUCUGUAAAUCCUAUUCACAUAUCAUCUUUGAUGGAACCUAAGUAACAUUUUCCUUACUGUCAAACCUUACAGUGAUUUCAAAAUCUAACAGAACUUGUCGCAUAGCAGGGGCUCAACAGCAGCCAGCCAGUUCCUCAUGGUUAGGUGAAGAAAGUAAAGCUAAGGUGCUCACAGAAGAAAGCAGGAUGUCAGAAACUCAUGCCCGCAAGACUGGAAUCAAAGCCAGAGGAAGCUGAAUGGAUCAAGAGAAAGAAAGCAAGGAAGGAAGAAAAGAAGGAAAGAAGGAAGCAACCAAGCCCCUUUGCCGAGGAGUAUUUUGUAUAAUUCAAAUGGAAUUGUAAUUCCCCACCAAUAAAACACCAUGUUCUAAACCUUCUAUAUCAUAGCCUAACGUGAAACAUUGGCCUUCUUUCUCCUUUGCCCCUCACUCAAAUGCCAGAGCCACUGUAGGGCAUGGCACAAAGAGGGAAACAGUGCUGUGGCAUUCUGAUUAGACUCUAACAAAAAAAAUUUUCCUAAACACUCUUUCACUAGUGGACAGUUCAAUAAAAGAGGGAACUGGGAAGACAGAACCUCCUGCACACUGUCAUUAAUGAACAUCCAGUCGACAUUGACCUCUGUGUAGUGCUGUGCUGGAUACCAUACAGAGCAGUUCACAGACACGCUCCCUGCUGCUCUUUAAAGUUGGCAAUUGAAAACAGAUGACAAUAGGCUGAGGAAAGUGAU
RNAcentral lists this long non-coding RNA (1187 nucleotides) under Macaca fascicularis (crab-eating macaque). RNAcentral describes it as "lncRNA (ENSMFAG00000063221.1)". The record is from RNAcentral. Lineage: Eukaryota; Metazoa; Chordata; Mammalia; Primates; Cercopithecidae.